Molecule: long non-coding RNA, 542 nt
Organism: Armigeres subalbatus
Lineage: Eukaryota; Metazoa; Arthropoda; Insecta; Diptera; Culicidae
Exons: 3
Source: RefSeq, a predicted model, not a curated record
AUAGACCUAGGCAAUAAUAUCUCAUAUGAGUUAGACUUUAGCAGCGAUUCAGAUUGGGAUCAAACUGAAGAGGAAAUGCGGCCGAAAUCGAAGCGAAGAAAGGGAGAAAAUGGUCCUAUUCUAUCAAAUGGCAAUUUAAAAUUUAAAUUAAAGGCUAGUUUCUACGCUAAAAACUUCAAAGGUCAAAGGAAUGGAGAUAAAGUCGGAUCGAUCAGCAUCGAAGCUGAUGCAUGUGAUGAAGUGGUUGAUGAAAUUUGGUCGUUUGGUGCCAAAUUUUUAAACUAUGAGGCUAUUUUAUCCGUAUCCGAAGAUAGUACGGAAAUAUCAAUUAGCUUCAGUGAUAGGAAACCAACGUUUGAUGAUAUUGACAAAUUUGUAGUGAUAUCUGAUCCUGUAUCCAAGCGCUAUUUUCUACCAUCAGUAAUAAAUACCAAAUUGCUACGCGGGUGGAUGGAUCGUGAAAUCGCAGUUAUCAUCUACCGGUUCUCGCAAUCUGUAACAACAUCUCACUUAUGGGGAAAGGUUAAAUCUAAACUUUUUCA